UACGUAGGUCCCGAGCGUUGUCCGGAUUUAUUGGGCGUAAAGCGAGCGCAGGUGGUUUAUUAAGUCUGGAGUAAAAGGCAGUGGCUCAACCAUUGUAUGCAUUGGAAACUGGUAGACUUGAGUGCAGGAGAGGAGAGUGGAAUUCCAUGUGUAGCGGUGAAAUGCGUAGAUAUAUGGAGGAACACCGGUGGCGAAAGCGGCUCUCUGGCCUGUAACUGACACUGAGGCUCGAAAGCGUGGGGAGCAAACAGG
This 252-nucleotide ribosomal RNA is filed under the name uncultured bacterium. RNAcentral describes it as "partial 16S ribosomal RNA". It matches the Rfam family "Bacterial small subunit ribosomal RNA", at positions 524 to 776 of the family's 1533-position model. The record is from RNAcentral.